This 256-nucleotide ribosomal RNA is filed under the name uncultured bacterium. RNAcentral's name for it is "partial 16S ribosomal RNA". It matches the Rfam family "Bacterial small subunit ribosomal RNA", at positions 99 to 354 of the family's 1533-position model. The record is from RNAcentral.
CGGACGGGUGAGUAACGCGUGGGUAACCUGCCUCACACAGGGGGAUAACAGUUGGAAACGACCGCUAAUACCGCAUAACCCGCUGGUAUCGCAUGAUACUGACGGAAAAGAUUUUAUCGGUGUGAGAUGGACCCGCGUCUGAUUAGCCAGUUGGCAGGGUAACGGCCUACCAAAGCGACGAUCAGUAGCCGGCCUGAGAGGGUGGACGGCCACACUGGGACUGAGACACGGCCCAGACUCCUACGGAAGGCAGCAG